UACGUAGGGGGCAAGCGUUGUCCGGAUUUAUUGGGCGUAAAGAGCGUGUAGGCGGUUAGGUAGGUCCGUUGUGAAAACUCGAGGCUCAACCUCGAGACGCCGAUGGAAACCAUCUGACUAGAGUCCGGAAGAGGAGAGUGGAAUUCCUGGUGUAGCGGUGAAAUGCGCAGAUAUCUGGAGGAACACCGGUGGCGAAGGCGGCAUCCUGGACCGACACUGACGCUGAGGAGCGAAAGCCAGGGGAGCAAACGGG
RNAcentral lists this ribosomal RNA (253 nucleotides) under uncultured bacterium. RNAcentral's name for it is "partial 16S ribosomal RNA". It matches the Rfam family "Bacterial small subunit ribosomal RNA", at positions 524 to 776 of the family's 1533-position model. The record is from RNAcentral.